CAAGUAAAGGACCUUCCGCCUUCCUUAUCGAUGACCUGCGUGAUUAGCUAGUUGUGGGUAGGGAUGCCUAGCCAGGAUCCUACCUACUUGAUGGAUGUCGACCACCUGGACUGAGCCAGCCCGACUCUUUCGUAGGCAGCAUGGGGAUUUUUUCUAUUGAUGAAGUCUGCUGAGCCAGCCUCGUGGUGAGGAAGUCUUCGGUCGUAAAUUAUUUAUUUGGCAGAAAGAGAUGACCUAGAUAAUCGUCCGUGACGUACCUACCGAAAAGCACGGCUAGCUAGUCCAGCAGCCAGGUAUACGUAGGUGCAAGCGUGAUUGAUUUAUUGGCGUAAGCGAGCGCAGGCGGUCGUCAGUAAGAUUGAUAUCCCUGGCUCAACUGGCAUGUCAUUCAAACUGGCGACCUGAUUCAGUAGUGAGAGUGGAUUUCAUGCGAGCGGUCAAUGCGUAGAUAUAUGUGGAACCCAGUGGGAAGGCGGCCUCCGGUCUGUACUGACGUUCGGUUAGAAAGCGUGGGAGCAAACAGGACUAGAUACCUGGUAGUCCACUCCGUAAACGAUGUAGGUCAGCGAGGGGGGCCUCCUUCCGUCAUUAGUGGAGCAGCUGCAUUAAGCAGUCGACCUCGGGAGUAGGACGGCAGCGUGAAACUCAACGGAGUGACGAGGGCCCGCACAACCGGUGGAGCAUGAGGUGGAAUACGAAGCAACGCGAAGAACCUCCUUAGCUCUCCACGUCAUGUGACCAAUCUAGAAAUGAUUCGUGCCUUCUGGCAAUAAAACCCCAGCUCAGGUAUGGUAUGGCUCAGCUCAGGUCGUGUCAUGAGAGGUUAGGUUCAGUACCGCAACCAGCCCUACCCUUGACUUUCGAUGAUUCGGAUGGGCACUCUAAUGAGACUGCCGGUGACAAACCGGAGGAAGGUGGGGAUGACGUCAAGUCAUCAUGGCCCUUAUGGCCUGGGCUUCACACGUCAUACAAUGGGCGGUACAGAGGGUUGCCAACCCGCGAGGUGGAGCUAAUCUCAGAAAACCGAUUGUAGUCCGGAUUCUAGUCUGCAAUUGGACUCCUGAACUCGGAAUCGCUAGUAAUCGGGAAUCAGAAUGUCGCGGUGAAUACGUUCCCGGGUCUUGUACACACCGGCCGUCACACCAUGGGAGUUGGUUCUACCAGAAGUAGGUAAGCUAACCGCAAGGAGGGCGCUUACCACGGUGGAUUCAUGGCUGGGUGAAGUCGUAACAAGUAACUAGCCC
Molecule: ribosomal RNA, 1244 nt
Filed under: uncultured bacterium
Lineage: Bacteria
Description: bacterial SSU rRNA
Rfam family: Bacterial small subunit ribosomal RNA
Source: RNAcentral